UUAUCAUUAGUUGCUACGCAAGGCACUCUAAUGAGACUGCCGGUGACAAACCGGAGGAAAGGUGGGGAUGACGUCAAGUCCUCAUGGCCCUUAUGGGUAGGGCUUCACACGUCAUACAAUGGUCGGUACAGAGGGUUGCCAAGCCGCGAGGCGGAGCCAAUCCCACAAAGCCGAUCGUAGUCCGGAUUGUUCUCUGCAACUCGAGAGCAUGGAAGUCGGAAUCGCUAGUAAUCGCAGGUCAGCAUACUGCGGUGAAUACGUUCCCGGGUCUU
RNAcentral lists this ribosomal RNA (272 nucleotides) under uncultured Thiobacillus sp. RNAcentral describes it as "partial 16S ribosomal RNA". It matches the Rfam family "Bacterial small subunit ribosomal RNA", at positions 1105 to 1382 of the family's 1533-position model. Lineage: Bacteria; Pseudomonadati; Pseudomonadota; Betaproteobacteria; Nitrosomonadales; Thiobacillaceae. The record is from RNAcentral.